Molecule: ribosomal RNA, 761 nt
Filed under: uncultured Prevotella sp.
Lineage: Bacteria; Pseudomonadati; Bacteroidota; Bacteroidia; Bacteroidales; Prevotellaceae
Description: bacterial SSU rRNA
Rfam family: Bacterial small subunit ribosomal RNA
Source: RNAcentral
GAUGAACGCUAGCUAUAGGCUUAACACAUGCAAGUCGAGGGGAAACGGCAUUAUGUGCUUGCACAUUUUGGACGUCGACCGGCGCACGGGUGAGUAUCGCGUAUCCAACCUGCCCUUUACUUGGGGAUACCCCGUUGAAAGACGGCCUAAUACCCGAUGUAAUUCAUUGAUGGCAUCAGAUAUGAAUAAAAGAUUUAUCGGUAAAGGAUGGGGAUGCGUCUGAUUAGCUUGUUGGUGAGGUAAUGGCUCACCAAGGCGACGAUCAGUAGGGGUUCUGAGAGGAAGGUCCCCCACAUUGGAACUGAGACACGGUCCAAACUCCUACGGGAGGCAGCAGUGAGGAAUAUUGGUCAAUGGACGGAAGUCUGAACCAGCCAAGUAGCGUGCAGGAAGACGGCCCUAUGGGUUGUAAACUGCUUUUAUACGAGAAUAAUUUGAUGCACGUGUGCGUUAUUGCAUGUAUCGUAUGAAUAAGGACCGGCUAAUUCCGUGCCAGCAGCCGCGGUAAUACGGAAGGUCCAGGCGUUAUCCGGAUUUAUUGGGUUUAAAGGGAGUGUAGGCGGUUUGUUAAGCGUGUUGUGAAAUUUAGGUGCUCAACAUUUAACUUGCAGCGCGAACUGGCGAACUUGAGUGCACACAACGUAUGCGGAAUUCAUGGUGUAGCGGUGAAAUGCUUAGAUAUCAUGAAGAACUCCGAUUGCGAAGGCAGCAUACGGGAGUGUAACUGACGCUUAAGCUCGAAGGUGCGGGUAUCAAACAGG